This 460-nucleotide ribosomal RNA is filed under the name uncultured bacterium. RNAcentral describes it as "partial 16S ribosomal RNA". It matches the Rfam family "Bacterial small subunit ribosomal RNA", at positions 338 to 795 of the family's 1533-position model. The record is from RNAcentral.
CCUACGGGAGGCAGCAGUGAGGAAUAUUGGUCAAUGGGCGGAAGCCUGAACCAGCCAAGUAGCGUGCGGGAUGACGGCCCUACGGGUUGUAAACCGCUUUUGCACGGGGAUAACACCCUCCACUUGUGGAGGUUUGCAUGUACCGUGCGAAUAAGGGCCGGCUAAUUCCGUGCCAGCAGCCGCGGUAAUACGGAAGGCCCGAGCGUUAUCCGGAUUUAUUGGGCUUAAAGGGAGCGUAGGCGGGGUGGCAAGUCAGCUGUGAAAUUUGGCGGCUCAACCCCGGCCCGGAAGUGGAAACUGGCGGUAUUGAGUCCACAGCAGGCAGGCGGAAUUCGUGGUGUAGCGGUGAAAUGCUUAGAUAUGACGAAGAACCCCGAUUGCGAAGGCAGCUUGCUGGGGUGCGACUGACGCUGAUGCUCGAAAGUGCGGGUAUCAAACAGGAUUAGAUACCCUAGUAGUC